GAUGAACGCUGGCGGCGUGCUUAACACAUGCAAGUCGAGCGGAAAGGCCCAAUCUUGCUUGCGUACUCGAGUGGCGAACGCGGGAGUAUCACGCGGGUGAUCUGUCCUGCACUUCGGGAGAAAACUGGGGAACUGGGUCUAUUACCGGAUAUGACCACUUCAUGCAUGUUGUGGAAGAAAGAAUGUUCUGUUUGGGAUAAGCUCGCGGCAUAUCAGCUUGUUUGUGGGGUAAUGGCAUACAAAGGCGUAGACGGGUAGCCGACCUUAGGGGGGGUACGGCGACAAUGGGACUGAGGGACGCACCAGACUGGUACGUGAGGCAACAGAGGGGAAUAUUGCACAAUGGGCGCGAGCCAGAUGCAGCGACGCCGCGUGGGGGAUGACGGCCUUGGGGUUGUAAACGCUGUUCGCAAGGGACGGAGCGUUUUGUGACGGUACCUGGAGAAGAAGCAACGGCUAACUACGUG
RNAcentral lists this ribosomal RNA (467 nucleotides) under uncultured bacterium. RNAcentral describes it as "partial 16S ribosomal RNA". It matches the Rfam family "Bacterial small subunit ribosomal RNA", at positions 28 to 507 of the family's 1533-position model. The record is from RNAcentral.